This 108-nucleotide small nuclear RNA is filed under the name Chinchilla lanigera (long-tailed chinchilla). Lineage: Eukaryota; Metazoa; Chordata; Mammalia; Rodentia; Chinchillidae. The record is from RNAcentral.
GUGUUCACUUCAGCAGCACAUAUACUCAAAUUGGAAUGAUAUAGAGAAAAUUAGCAUGGCCACAUCUAUAAGGAUGACAUGCAAAUUUGUGAAGCUGUCCAUUUUUUA